CGGGCUAUAGUACAAUGGAUAGUACAAGCGCCUCCUAAGCGUUAGAUCCUGGUUCGACUCCAGGUAGCCCGACCA
This 75-nucleotide transfer RNA is filed under the name Pseudomonadales bacterium. Its description in RNAcentral is "tRNA-Arg". It matches the Rfam family "tRNA". Rfam says of the family: Transfer RNA (tRNA) molecules are approximately 80 nucleotides in length. Their secondary structure includes four short double-helical elements and three loops (D, anti-codon, and T loops). RNAcentral also lists the same sequence under 2 other names. The record is from RNAcentral. Lineage: Bacteria; Pseudomonadati; Pseudomonadota; Gammaproteobacteria; Pseudomonadales.